AGGCUGGAACCGUGCGGCGUCUCCCGUCCCUCCCCUCAGUCCCGCUUGGCAGCCGCGGCGGCAGCAGUAGGAGCAGGAGCGGUACCCGGGGUAGCGGUGCCGCCGCCGUCUCUUCUUCCUCUUCAUUCUCUUCACACACCCCCUCACCCCCUUCUCCCGGGGCACGAUGCAGUUUAUGUUGCUUUUUAGUCGCCAGGGAAAACUGAGGCUCCAGAAGUGGUAUGUCCCAUUAUCUGACAAAGAAAAGAAGAAAAUCACAAGGGAACUUGUUCAAACAGUAUUAGCCCGCAAACCGAAAAUGUGCAGCUUCCUGGAAUGGAGAGACCUGAAGAUUGUCUACAAAAGAUAUGCAAGCCUGUAUUUCUGCUGUGCUAUUGAAGAUCAGGACAAUGAACUUAUAACUCUGGAAAUAAUUCAUCGCUAUGUAGAACUUCUUGACAAGUAUUUUGGCAGUGUAUGUGAACUUGAUAUCAUCUUCAAUUUCGAAAAAGCCUAUUUCAUUCUGGAUGAGUUCCUUUUAGGAGGGGAAGUUCAGGAGACUUCCAAGAAAAAUGUUCUCAAAGCCAUUGAACAGGCAGACCUUUUACAGGAGAGCCAGAAUGAAGACUGGGGAGGUUUGUCUGAGGAUAUCUUAUGAUUAAGAGCAAUCUAAGGCAUUAGCCCUUUUGACCCCCAUCUAAAUGAUUGGAAGCAGAGACCCCACGUAGUGUACUUGAAGAAAUUGGAUUGACAUAAAUCUUCACUUCAGCUGAUGACAUCUCAGUGUUUCAUACUGUAAAUGUUCACUGCCUUCAUUGUAAUGUUUAGCUAAUGGUGUAGGAUGCUGUUUGUCAGUAUUACUGUUUUGCUAAGCUGCUUCAUUCAGGCCUACAAGAAAAAUACUCCUUUGAAAGAGAACAAGAAGCUAAAGUCUUAAGAAUCACAAAUGAAAGCGAAUUAGAUUUAAAUUGACUCACUGUCUCCCUUCAUUGCAUUUAUAGGAAGAUUGCAUUUGACUUCAAUAAGUGUACUGUUUUUUAUAAGCAAACUUGACUUCAGGAAAUAAGUGUAUCAUUAUGACAUAGCAUAUCUAUAUGAGAAGAAACUACAUGAACAACUCCAAAUAUGAAAUGUUGCAGUGUAGAAAUUGUGUUUAUGCAACCAAAGACCUUUGUUUGUCUACAUUUUAGUCACCACUUGUGAUAAUUCUGCUUAUUUCAGUUGAUGCAUAGAGAUUGGAAAUACCUGUUUACUACUGAAUUUGUCAUUAUACCAAAGAAUCCUGUUAGGAUCUGCAUAUCAAACUGGUAAAAACUGUUAAGGUGAUACCUGCAAGAAAACUGCAAACUGAUCAAAUUCACUGGAAAUGAAGGUGUAUUUAAGUGUAGCAACCUUGAGCAAAACUGUGCAAGUUACUAAGUUACUGUACUAAAAAGGGAAUGCAAGCAGUAAAAAAAAUUCUGAAUAAGAAAACUGUAGAUCUGAUAUUGGUUUGCUCUGAAUAUAAACACAAGAAAGGAGGUAGGCUUUCUGACUGUAUAGAGGUGCAUAAUGAAAAUUGGAUGCUGUUUAAGACAGGAAAGAAGGAGCUUUACAAAAGGGAUUUUUUUUUAUUUUCUCAACAAAUUAAUUUGUAUUUAUUGAUGUUUUAUAGUUAUGCUUUAAUUGGUGUAUAGGUAUCUUUUAAAAAAAAACAUGGUAUGUGUCAAUGUCAUUUUAAUUCUUGACCUACAUGUGUCACGUGCCCUAUGAAGUCCUGUGUGAUGUACAGUUGAGCCACCUAUUUUGCAGUGAGAGCUUCUGAAAUAUUAGAUUUGUGUACUAGAGUCACUGCAAGUUGCAUAAAGUGAUACUGAGCAAUGUUUUGACACUUGUAGCAGACUUCCAGUAGUUCUAAACUGAACCUGUUUCACUUGUGGAAAUUGGGAUCAUGCACACUGUUGAGUUCUGAGGAGAUAGUGCCACACCUUGGAGUAGCCAAGUUCUGCUGUGUGUCUGCAUGGUCCCUGAGAGAGCAGUGCUGUCCCCAUCCCCUCCCUCCCUCUUCAGGAAUCUCACUUCAGGAGUCAAGGCUGUGGCUCCUUCAGUUGAGGAAGCAGUGCCAUGUCCUCUCAAAGCUGAGCUUUGGCAUUAGCUCUGGGAGCAGUGAUGCACUGUCUGCAUUAAGUGUUUUCAUGGCCGUUUUUGGGAGCUGGGAGGUGGGCUUGAGGCCAUGCAGGUCCAGUUAAACCCACCAGGAAAGGCUCAGCAUUGCCCCUUGCAAGUCCCCUGAUCCAGAGUCCAGUAUAAAUGCUUGUGGCAGCAGGAAGGCCAGCUGGGGCAGGGUGUUGAGGGGGGGGGUAAAUGGGCUUCUGUGGCAGCACCAGAGUGGAGCCUGUGAAUUCACAGUGUUAGGAUUUGUUGAUUUAGGCCCUGUCUGGGAUUUAAACAUACCUAAUUACUAGAGUGUUUUUAGCCUAGGGAAUGCAAAACCAGUGGUGCACAUAUCCUCAGAGCACAACGUGCAGGGAAAGGUGAGGCCGAACUGGUAGCAGAACGAUCCUAUGUCUGAGAUUGGAGUGGGAAAAAUUACCUUAAGUUGAACCCGAAGCAAUUUUGUAUGUAUUAAACAUGUUUUUAAAGUUUACACUGUCACUUGUAUGUGCUUGGCUGGAUUAAGCUUUGUUGUGAUUGUGACAAACUGUUUGACCUCUGUCUGUUGCAUUGGUUUAGUUGUAAUAAAUGUCCAUUUUUACACCAUU
RNA transcript from Calypte anna (Anna's hummingbird), 2720 nucleotides. It is a transcript of the gene named adaptor related protein complex 1 subunit sigma 2, with no coding region annotated. Lineage: Eukaryota; Metazoa; Chordata; Aves; Apodiformes; Trochilidae. The transcript has 6 exons. The record is from RefSeq and is a predicted model, not a curated record.